This 252-nucleotide ribosomal RNA is filed under the name uncultured bacterium. RNAcentral's name for it is "partial 16S ribosomal RNA". It matches the Rfam family "Bacterial small subunit ribosomal RNA", at positions 57 to 305 of the family's 1533-position model. The record is from RNAcentral.
GCAAGUCGAACGCGAAAGUUUCUCUUCGGAGGAGCGAGUAGAGUGGCAGACGGGUGAGUAACACGUGGGUAACCUACCUCGAGGCGGGGGAUAACAGCUGGAAACGGCUGCUAAUACCGCAUAAGACUACGAAUCUUCGGGUUAGUAGUUAAAGUCUUCGGACACCUUGAGAGGGGCCCGCGUCUGAUUAGCUUGUUGGUAGGGUAAUGGCCUACCAAGGCGACGAUCAGUAGCUGGUCUGAGAGGAUGAUC